UUCUCAAAGAGAAAGGUUAAUGAGCUGAUUACACAAGAUUCCUAUCUUGGAGAGAUAUGCUUGGUGAAUGACAUGAGAGCGCGUCUGCGCUGGACAGUGGGAAUUAGCAUAAACGUAUAGCUUGCAGUUUGCCGCCUGGGUGGACACAGCUAAACCAUUGUUAUGAUAAUGAGGAUGAUACAAAAAAUUAAUAUUUUGAAAUAGCCAAUGUCACAGGGCAACAGAAUGACGACAAUUGCUCUGCUACUGCAUUAUGAGAAUUAAUUACAAACCGAAUAUAUCGAAUAUACAUAUUUUGUUUGAUGUAUUAUACAUCAAAACGAACAUUUUCGAAAUACGGAGAAGACGCUUAAUUAUGCUACUUACGAUCGUUUAACUAUUCUGAGCAUUUCAAAAAAACGGUAAAGAAAAAUGGAAGGAAGCACUCAACUGAUAAAAGGUAGCUGAUCCAGUAUUUUUCAAUAUGAAAUUGCAACAUGUGGUUGACGUAUUAUACAAGCAUUGUGUUGUGAAUAUUAUGAUAUUUUUGAUACAUAAAACAUUUUAAAGCAUAUCCAUAAACUACACAUGAUCCACGUUCUCUCCGUUCAAUUUUACGUUUUUUUCACGAGAAAAUAAGAAACAUUUUUAAAAAAUAUUCUUUUCUUC
This is a long non-coding RNA of Wasmannia auropunctata (little fire ant), 648 nucleotides long. RefSeq lists it as uncharacterized. The record is from RefSeq and is a predicted model, not a curated record. NCBI's taxonomy places the organism in Eukaryota, Metazoa, Arthropoda, Insecta, Hymenoptera, Formicidae. The transcript has 4 exons.